UGUGUCACUGGCAUUUGCAGAUAUGUAAGAAUGUUUUCUUUCUUAUAUGGUUUUCUUACCAAAACUCUCUUUUUAAAAAUGACUAUUUUUAGAGCAGUUUUUCAAUUUACAGAAAAUUUGGGCAAAAAAGGAAUUCCCAUAACCCCUUCUUCCUUCAGUACAGUUUCUCCUUUUAUUAACAUUUUAUAUUAAUGUGGAACAUUUGUUACAAUUGAUGAACCACUAUUGAAACCUUAUUAACUAAAGUUCAUAGUUUACAUUAGUGUUCUUUCUUUGUGUUGUAAAGUUCUGUUUUUUGUUUGUUUUGUUUUUGAGACAGUCUCACUUUGUCACCCAGGCUGGAGUGAAGGGAUGCAAUUACAGCUCACUGCAGCCUCAGCCUUCCAGGCUCAAGGGGUCCUCCCGCCUCAGCCUCCUGAGUAGUUGGGACUCCAGGCAUGCACCACCACACCUGGCUAAUUUUUGUAUUUUUUUAUAGAGUUGGGUUGCCCAUGCUGGUCUCAAACUCCCAGGCUCAAUCAAUACCACCCCUUGGCCUCCCAAAAUGCUGGGAUUACAGGAGUGAGCCAUCACGCCAGGGAACGAUCCACGGGUUUUGACAAACACGUAAUGUCACGUACCUGCCAUUGCAGUACCAUCCAGAAGAGUUUUGCUGCCUUGAAAAUCCCAUAUGCUCCUCCUAUUCAUCCUUCCCUUCCUCCUCCUGAGUCUCUGGCAACCACUGAUCAUUUAUUGUCUCUACAGUUUUGCCUUUCCCAGAAUGCUGUAUAGUUGGAAUCAUAAUGUAUGCACCCUUUUCAGAUUGGCAUCUUUCACUUAGGUUUUCAGUUUCUUUCAUCGCAUAUUUUGGAAGAUAACAUUUGCAAUUGCUGAGGGUUUUGUUUUAUUUAUAACUUUAUAUAACUUCAUUAUAACAUAAUUGUAAACCUUAUUUCUUUGUUCUAAUGGACUGAGUUGGGACCAUAAUAGUGGACAUCUUCUGAAGAAUUUUUAAUUUUCUCAUUUAUUCUAGCAUUUCACUAUCCAACAAAAUGUUUAUUCCAGGAUUUUGGUUGAUUUCAUUAAUCAGAUGUGACAUUAUUAACCCAAGAGAUCAUGAGAAAUUAUUAAAUUUGUGUGCAGGCAACAAAAACAAAAAUAGACAAAUGGAACUUAAUUAAACUAAAAAGCUUCUGCACACCAAAAAAAAAAAAAAAAAAAAAAAAAAAAUCAACAGAAUAAAAUGACAACCUGCAGAAUGGGAGAAAAUAUGUGCAAAUUAUAUAUACAACAGGGGAUGAAUAUCCAAACUAUAUAUCCAACAGGGGAUGAAUAUCCAGAAUUUAUAAGGAACUCAGACUACUAACAACAGCAAAAAUAAUCUCAUCAAAAACUGGGCUAAGGGUAUCUAUAGACACUUUUCAAAAGAUGGCAAACAGGCCAGGCACAGUGGCUCAGGCCCAUAAUCCCAGCACUUUGGGAGGCUGAGGCAGGCGGAUCACCUGAGGUCAGGAAUUGGAGACCAGCCUGGCCAACGUAUAGUGAAACCUCGUCUCUACUAAAAAAAUACAAAAAUUAGCUGGGCAUGGUGGCGCAGGCCUGUAGUCCCAGCUACUUGGGAAACAGAGGCAGGAGAAUAGCUUGAACCCGGGAGGUGGAGGCUGCAGUGAGCCGAGAUCGCACCACUCUACUCCAGCCUAGGCAACAGAGCGAGACUCCAUCUCUCAAAAAAGAAAAAAUAAAUAAAAAUAGAGCUACCAUAUGAUCCAGCUGGGUAUCUACUCAAAGGAAAAAUAAUUAAAUCAAAAAGAUACCUGCACAUAGAUGUUUAUUACAGCACUAUUCACAAUAGCAAAGAUAUGGAAUCAACCUAAGUUUCCAUCAACCCAUGAUUGGAUAAGAAUAUGUGGUAUAUAUAUAUGAAUACUCUUCAGCCAUAAAAAAGAAUGAAAUCAUGUCUUUUGCAGCAACAUAGAUGAAACUGGAGGCUAUUUUCUUUUCUUUUCUUUUUUUUUUUUUUUGAGACGGAGUCUCGCUCUGCCGCCCAGGCUGGAGUGCAGGGGCGCGAUCUCGGCUCACUGCAAGCCCCGCCUCCCGGGUUCACGCCAUUCUCCUGGCUCAGCCCCCGGAGUAGCUGGGACUAGAGGCUCCCGCCAACACGCCUGGCUAAUUUUUUUGGUAUUUUUGGUAGAGACGGGGUUUCACCAUGUUAGCCAGGAUGGUCUUGAUCUGCUGACCUCGUGAUCCGCCCGCCUGGGCCUCCCAAAGUGUUGGGAUUACAGGCGUGAGCCACCACGCCUGGCCUGGAGGCUAUUUUCUUAAGUGAAAGAAUUCAGACACAGAAAGACAAAUACCACAUGUUCUCACUUCUAAGUGGGUGUUGAAUAAUGUGUACACAUGGAAGUAGAGUGUGGAAUGAUAGACAAUGGAGACUUAGGUUGGUGGGGUGGUGAGAAGAGGGUUGGCUGAGGACAAUGAGAAAGCACUUAAUGGUACAAUGUACAUUACUCCAGUGAUGGAUACACUAAAAACACUGACU
This 2518-nucleotide long non-coding RNA is filed under the name Homo sapiens (human). RNAcentral's name for it is "HSALNT0265000". Lineage: Eukaryota; Metazoa; Chordata; Mammalia; Primates; Hominidae. The record is from RNAcentral.